Molecule: long non-coding RNA, 370 nt
Organism: Panthera uncia (snow leopard)
Lineage: Eukaryota; Metazoa; Chordata; Mammalia; Carnivora; Felidae
Exons: 3
Source: RefSeq, a predicted model, not a curated record
GGGAGGUCUCUCCACAAGUCGCAGCGUGCCGGGGAAGAACCUUGAUGCUGAAGGAGCCUAAGGGGGAGAGAAGGAGGAAGUACCAUUUGUAAGCCACCCUUCUAUAGCAGCAGUGGAUUCAGGGAGGAAGGAUGGUGCCAGGGAGAGCAAGGAGCCAAAGGAACACUUCUUUUAUGCACCCUGCGUUGCUCUGGGAACAACCUGAGGGCAAGAGCUGUGUGUCCUCCUUUGACUUUGGAUUCCCAAAGAAGGGACGAUGUCUCUUCUAUUAAACUGGGAGUUUCCUGAAAGUGCAGCCAAGUCUCCUACUUUUGUCACUUCUUUCAGUUGCCAAGAAAAAAAUCACAACUGCUAAUUAACAUACCUGAGA